This 426-nucleotide ribosomal RNA is filed under the name uncultured prokaryote. RNAcentral's name for it is "bacterial SSU rRNA". It matches the Rfam family "Bacterial small subunit ribosomal RNA", at positions 355 to 796 of the family's 1533-position model. The record is from RNAcentral.
UGGGGAAUUUUCCGCAAUGGGGGCAACCCUGACGGAGCAACGCCGCGUGGGGGAGGAAUGUCUGUGGAUUGUAAACCUCUUUUCUUAGGGAAGAAGUUCUGACGGCACCUAAGGAAUCAGCAUCGGCUAACUCCGUGCCAGCAGCCGCGGUAAUACGGAGGAUGCAAGCGUUAUCCGGAAUUAUUGGGCGUAAAGCGUCCGCAGGUGGCUCUUCAAGUCUGCUGUCAAAGACCAGAGCUCAACUCUGGGCAGGCGGUGGAAACUGGGGAGCUAGAGUACGGUAGGGGUAGAGGGAAUUCCCAGUGUAGCGGUGAAAUGCGUAGAGAUUGGGAAGAACACCAGUGGCGAAGGCGCUCUACUGGACCGAAACUGACACUCAGGGACGAAAGCUAGGGGAGCGAAAGGGAUUAGAUACCCGCGUAGUCC